ACUCAAAUGAAUUGACGGGGACCCGCACAACCGGUGGAGCGUGUGGUUCAAUUCGAGACAAAGCGAAAAACCUUACCAGGGCUUGACAUACUACCGUUUUAUACCUAUGGAAACACUGGUAGAUCCGUAAGGAUGGUAGUACAGGUGUUGCAUGGCUGUCGUCAGCUCGUGCCGUGAGGUGUUCCCUUAAGUGGGGAAACGAGCGCAACCCCCGUCCAAUGUUACAUAUUCAUUGGAGACUGCCCCAUUUUUUGGGGAGGAAGGAGGGGUAGAUGUCAAGUCAGCACGGCCCUUAUGCCCUGGGAUACACACACCCUACAAUGGCGAAUAACAACGUGUUGCUAGCUAGUAAUAGUACGCUAAUCACUAAAAUUUCGCCUCAGUUCAGAUUGAGGUCUGCAACUCGACCUCAUGAAGUCGGAAUCGGUAGUAAUCGCGGAUCAGAAGGCCGCGGUGAAUACGUUCUCGGGUCUUGUACACACCGCCCGU
This 489-nucleotide ribosomal RNA is filed under the name uncultured bacterium. RNAcentral describes it as "partial 16S ribosomal RNA". It matches the Rfam family "Bacterial small subunit ribosomal RNA", at positions 899 to 1397 of the family's 1533-position model. The record is from RNAcentral.